CGCUAACACUCCUACGGGAGGCAGCAGUGGGGAAUAUUGCACAAUGGGCGCAAGCCUGAUGCAGCCAUGCCGCGUGUAUGAAGAAGGCCUUCGGGUUGUAAAGUACUUUCAGCAGUGAGGAAGGUGGAGUCGUUAAUAGCGGCCUCAUUUGACGUUAGCUGCAGAAGAAGCACCGGCUAACUCCGUGCCAGCAGCCGCGGUAAUACGGAGGGUGCGAGCGUUAAUCGGAAUUACUGGGCGUAAAGCGCAUGCAGGUGGUUUGUUAAGUCAGAUGUGAAAGCCCGGGGCUCAACCUCGGAAUUGCAUUUGAAACUGGCAGACUAGAGUACUGUAGAGGGGGUAGAAUUUCAGGUGUAGCGGUGAAAAUGCGUAGAGAUCUGAAGGAAUACCGGUGGCGAAGGCGGCCCCCUGGACAGAUACUGACACUCAGAUGCGAAAGCGUGGGGAGCAAACAGGAUUAGAUACCCUGGUAG
This 473-nucleotide ribosomal RNA is filed under the name uncultured bacterium. RNAcentral describes it as "bacterial SSU rRNA". It matches the Rfam family "Bacterial small subunit ribosomal RNA", at positions 328 to 793 of the family's 1533-position model. The record is from RNAcentral.